Long non-coding RNA from Corvus hawaiiensis (hawaiian crow), 3322 nucleotides. RefSeq lists it as uncharacterized. NCBI's taxonomy places the organism in Eukaryota, Metazoa, Chordata, Aves, Passeriformes, Corvidae. The record is from RefSeq and is a predicted model, not a curated record. The transcript has 6 exons.
ACAUUGUGGCCUGUGGUGAAAGCAGCAGUGUAGGAAUCUGUGCUCAGUCAGGAUCUGUGCUCUGCCUGCUCAUCAAAUGGAGGCUCUCUCUUCCAGCUUUGGUGAAACAACCAGCCUUUUUGGGGUUUAAGUGGAUGCUCUCACCUUUCUUUUUUACAGCAUGUACUUCACGACUAUUUUUCCAGUGAAACUGUGCAUCUGCAUGUGGUGGUGAUGAUGAUGAUGAUUAUUUUUAUUGUAUCAUGCUUUACCACUUUAGCUGAUAACGUCAAGGAGGUGUCUCUCUGGAGGAGAGCAGCGCUGCAUUGAGGUGCCUUAGGUAGCCCUAAAUGAACUGCUUGCCUUCCGGAUCCAGUGCAGCCCUCCUGGGCUUUGUUCCUAACAGAGCUAAUUAGUUGGGGUAUUACAUCAUGCUAAAGCAGUUAUUUUGCUUCCAGUUCCAACGUGCUUCAUUUAGCGAUAGCUCACAUAUCUCUGCAAAAUACAGUGUUGUAUUGUUUUGGCCUGUCCAAAAUACUUAGAAGGAGAGAUUUAUAAUAGGUGGUCAGUUCUACUUCCUUAUUUCUUUGGUGUUUGCACAGUGGUGAAUUAGCUCUUCAGUUUGGGGGGAUUUCUUCUAUACUGCUUGCAGGCCUCUUUUCUACUCCUUUUCUUGUUUGUCUUUGUUUGCAUUACCACCAAACUCACCUUUCUGCAUCCUAACCAGCCUUUGGUGUUUUGCUCCCUCACUCAAAGUAAUGAUUGCCCUGAGAGUUAUUAAUGCCUGCCUUCCCUUCUCUCUGUGCUUAUUUAGAAGUGUGGUAUCUGAAAGAUUACGUGAGGAGGGAGAGGGUAUUGUGUGCUUCUGCUUGACCUGGAGAGGAGAAUCCAAAGACUUGCAUGUUCUGUGUAGGAAUGGUAUUUGCCUUUUCCUACCUGCAUGGUACAAUGAAGUACCAGUAAACGAUGUGCAGCAACACUUCAGAAGCAUCCUGGUAGUCACCUUACUUCAUUCAGAAUCUGAGAAAAUAGUGUAAAGCUGAAGCAGAAGGAGAUUCAAAGUGCCCUAGUCCAAGUAAAAAUGCAGACAAUUUGAGAUGGUCUAAUCAAGAUCAGAACUUCCCUGGUACAGAAUUUUCCAAUAAGGAGUAGUUAAGAUGGAAUUCAUGUCUCUUCAUUUCACUACCAAGAUUUGUGGGAAAACUCCUGGGAAAUAAGAGUUAGACUUUUGGUUUUGUCGAAGACAUAGUUCUAGAGAAUCAGUGAAGCAGUAAGUAUUGUAAGAAUAUUAAGCUUGUUAACUCUUAAGUGUGUAUCUGUAAAACCAGAUUUCUCUAUGAAGGCAAAUGUGUCAUAGAAUGAUGGAUUUUAACAGAGCUAAUAUCAGCAGUAACAUUUAAGUUCAGUAAACUUGUGCAGUGAGCAUAAUUUCUUCUAAAAUGGACGUUAUAAUGAUCAGUAUGUUGGAGGAAAUCACACUGAUAUUAGUAUUUCUCAGCUCUUCUGGUCUUAUGUCUAUUAAUGCUGUAUCUUUUGUUUCAUUGUAAUUUUUUAUUAUAUUUUUUUAUUAAUCUACAGCUGUCUGUCUUUCUCUGUAAUACAUGCCAUUAUCUGUAACUAGUUUAUCUUUGUAAUAUGCAGUGGAUAUUUUGUUAUUUGUGUAGCAUGAGUCUUCUUACAUUUUCUUGAACUGCAGGUAUAUUAAUUUCACUUACCCGAAACUAUUUUACCCUCUUCCUCAUAGUAUUUUCUUCUCAAACUUUUCAUACUCAACAACAACAGCAAAGAUCAGAAUAUUGCUCUACAGGAAUCAAACUUAUGUCUUUGUGUUGCUGCUGGAGGUACAAAAAUAUUAUCCUAGUUUUAUUUUGAUCCCAAUUUUUAUGAAGAUGAAAAUGAUUAGUGAUGAAUGUUUAGUGUAAAACAUUGCAUAAUGAAUUAUUACAAGAGAAAUGCUCCAUGGUUUGUGGCUGCCUUCAUACUAAUUUUCUUAAUUAUUAUGUCAAUUUAAAAAAAUACUUUUUGACAACAGCUAGAUCAUCAGCUUUCUCCUGAAUCUUUUUACACAAAAGUCAGAUACUUUAAAUCUUACUUUAUUGAAAUAACUGUGUACUUGACAUUGUUGGAACAGGUAUCUAAAACCUGUCAAGGAGAGUAUUAUACUGUGUUGCUGAAUACUUACUGAUGUGUACUUGUAGAUAAAUUGGUAAUUUAAAAUACUUUAUUUUCAAAGCACAAGGAAGCAAGAUAAGUUGCCUGUUGAACACACAGCUGCAUUCUUCUUUUAUCUAAGUUACUCUUAAAUGUGACAACUAAAUGUCAGCUUUUAGCAUUGUAUAGUAUUAAACAAUUAAAUAAUUUUGGUUUAUUGAUGUUUCUAUUAUUAUGCAUAUUCCACUGUCUGUGUUGCUAUGAAGCAGGCAUGUGCUCUGAAUAUCACCAUCAUCAAAAAUAUCUUCUUUAAAUUGUUCAUUUCAUUAAAGAGUUCUAGUAAAAAACUGUAAAAUACUAAACAUAAAAUAAAAUCAAAGAAAAAAAUUUCCCAUCUCAGUCUUGACUAAGUUUCUCAUGUAAGUACUACAAGAAAUACUGUAAAAAUGGGAAGCCCAUUUGGAAACAGUGAAGUAUCCCCACAGGAGAAGGAUUUUGGUUUAUAUUAUCAUAUCUUCUUAUGUACUAUAGAUGAAAAGACAGACUUCCAAAAGAUUAAGGCAGAUUAAGUACAUGGUUGUUGCUGUGAUGCUUACGUGUGAUGGAAGAUCAUCCACUGUGAUGGAAGAUCAGCUUGCUAGGAUGUAGAGUGAAAAUGGUAGAUAAGGAAACAAAGGAAAAUCCUGAAAUGAGUCCGUCAAAAAAGUUAAUGAGUAAAUGCAUUUCAUUGUUUGCAGGAGAUUUCGAUUAAUUCAAACUUGUAUAAAAGGUAUGAAAACCAUCAAGUUCCUUCUCCUGGUCCUGUGUUUGAUACAUCUGCCUUUCUAAAGAAGUUAUGCCAGUGUUGUUAACUAAUGAGGUUAAAUUACUUGCUAAUAUAUUUGAAAAUUCUGUCUCAUUUUUUCUCAUCUCAGCUUCACUGAAGAGCAUAUUUUAUCAGCAAGCUUACAAUUUUUCCCAGUUUUGGACAGAGUUUUGCAAAACCAUUAGGAAUUGCACUUUCCUCUGAUUUCAAGCUGAAUCAUCAUAGUUGACAGAGGGGUGGAAUACAGGAGAAAGAGGAAGAUGCCUCUGAAGGCCUCCAGAGGGAGAUCCUGUCCACCUCAGUUGAAGUGCCUCAAGUUUAAAGGGGAUUCCAAAUAAAGCUUAUAAUAUAAUUAAGAUUACCAGUAAAUUCCAUACCGGCUGCUGC